GACGAACGCUGGCGGCGUGCUUAACACAUGCAAGUCGAACGGAAAGGCCCUGCUUUUGUGGGGUGCUCGAGUGGCGAACGGGUGAGUAACACGUGAGUAACCUGCCCUUGACUUUGGGAUAACUUCAGGAAACUGGGGCUAAUACCGGAUAGGAGCUCCUGCUGCAUGGUGGGGGUUGGAAAGUUUCGGCGGUUGGGGAUGGACUCGCGGCUUAUCAGCUUGUUGGUGGGGUAGUGGCUUACCAAGGCUUUGACGGGUAGCCGGCCUGAGAGGGUGACCGGCGACAUUGGGACUGAGAUACGGCCCAGACUCCUACGGGAGGCAGCAGGGGGGAAUAUUGCACAAUGGGCGGAAGCCUGAUGCGGCAACGCCGCGUGCGGGAUGACGGCCUUCGGGUUGUAAACCGCUUUCGCCUGUGACGAAGCGUGAGUGACGGUAAUGGGUAAAGAAGCACCGGCUAACUACGUG
Molecule: ribosomal RNA, 468 nt
Filed under: uncultured bacterium
Lineage: Bacteria
Description: partial 16S ribosomal RNA
Rfam family: Bacterial small subunit ribosomal RNA
Source: RNAcentral